RNAcentral lists this ribosomal RNA (829 nucleotides) under Massariosphaeria sp. RNAcentral's name for it is "partial large subunit ribosomal RNA". It matches the Rfam family "Eukaryotic large subunit ribosomal RNA", at positions 91 to 937 of the family's 3401-position model. Lineage: Eukaryota; Fungi; Ascomycota; Dothideomycetes; Pleosporales. The record is from RNAcentral.
GAGUGAAGCGGCAACAGCUCAAAUUUGAAAUCUGGCUCCUUCCGGGGUCCGAGUUGUAAUUUGUAGAGGGUGCUUUGGCGUCGGCCAUGGUCUAAGUUCCUUGGAACAGGGCGUCACAGAGGGUGAGAAUCCCGUACGUGGCCGCUGGCCUUCGCCAUGUAAAGCCCCUUCGACGAGUCGAGUUGUUUGGGAAUGCAGCUCUAAAUGGGAGGUAAAUUUCUUCUAAAGCUAAAUAUUGGCCAGAGACCGAUAGCGCACAAGUAGAGUGAUCGAAAGAUGAAAAGCACUUUGGAAAGAGAGUCAAAAAGCACGUGAAAUUGUUGAAAGGGAAGCGCUUGCAGCCAGACUUGCCCGUAGUUGCUCAUCCGGGUUUCGGCCCGGUGCACUCUUCUGCGGGCAGGCCAGCAUCAGUUCAGGCGGUCGGAUAAAGGUCCCGGGAAUGUGGCUCUCUUCGGGGAGUGUUAUAGCCCGGGGCGCAAUGCGGCCAGCUUGGACUGAGGUCCGCGCAUCUGCUAGGAUGCUGGCGUAAUGGCUGUAAGCGGCCCGUCUUGAAACACGGACCAAGGAGUCUAACAUCUAUGCGAGUGUUUGGGUGUCAAGCCCGAGCGCGUAAUGAAAGUGAACGGAGGUGGGAACCCGCAAGGGCGCACCAUCGACCGAUCCUGAUGUCUUCGGAUGGAUUUGAGUAAGAGCAUAGCUGUUGGGACCCGAAAGAUGGUGAACUAUGCCUGAAUAGGGUGAAGCCAGAGGAAACUCUGGUGGAGGCUCGCAGCGGUUCUGACGUGCAAAUCGAUCGUCAAAUUUGGGCAUAGGGGCGAAAGACUAAUCG